AUGGAUAGGGAAACCUCGCAACAUCUUUUCCUCACCUGCCCAGUUGCUAGGGUGGUCUGGAGAACAGUUGGAUGUGUCCUUGGCACGGACUUAUGCCCCGAUAACUUGUGGCAAUAUUUUUCGUGGUGCUACAUUUUCUUACCAGAUGGAUCUAAAUUCUAUACCUUUGGCCUUGCUGCGAUAUGUUGGGCUAUGUGGAAUUGUCGUAAUCGGGCCACAUUUGAGCAUAAGAAACUAAGAACUCCUUUUGUUGUGGUUUUUCCUGCAUGUGGAUAUAUGAACUAUUGGGCAGGCCUGAUGGAGGGAGCUGAUCGCGAGGCGAUGGAGCGCGGCGCCAAGAUGCUCAAGACCAACGCGGCUACCAUGAUGAGGAUCUGUGCGGCCCCAGCUGAAGCAGCGAUGGACUGA
This 408-nucleotide ribosomal RNA is filed under the name Triticum aestivum (bread wheat). RNAcentral describes it as "partial small subunit ribosomal RNA". Lineage: Eukaryota; Viridiplantae; Streptophyta; Magnoliopsida; Poales; Poaceae. The record is from RNAcentral.